RNAcentral lists this ribosomal RNA (253 nucleotides) under uncultured bacterium. RNAcentral's name for it is "partial 16S ribosomal RNA". It matches the Rfam family "Bacterial small subunit ribosomal RNA", at positions 524 to 776 of the family's 1533-position model. The record is from RNAcentral.
GACGUAGGGUGCGAGCGUUGUCCGGAUUUAUUGGGCGUAAAGAGCUCGUAGGCGGCUUGUUGCGUCGACUGUGAAAACCCGCGGCUUAACCGCGGGCUUGCAGUUGAUACGGGCAGGCUAGAGUUCGGUAGGGGAGACUGGAAUUCCUGGUGUAGCGGUGGAAUGCGCAGAUAUCAGGAGGAACACCGGUGGCGAAGGCGGGUCUCUGGGCAGUAACUGACGCUGAGGAGCGAAAGCGUGGGGAGCGAACAGG